Molecule: non-coding RNA, 5501 nt
Organism: Struthio camelus australis
Lineage: Eukaryota; Metazoa; Chordata; Aves; Struthioniformes; Struthionidae
Source: RefSeq, a predicted model, not a curated record
UCGGACUUGGUCUGUCUGUCUGCCUUCGACAAGGUCAGCGGAGAAAAUCCCUCUCUUCAAUUUAAUUUCCAUGAGCCACGUUAGAUUUGUGAGACAGAUCUGAAGUUACAUGGUGACAUAGGUCCUAAAUCCAGCCAGGAACUAAGGCCAGAGACGGGGCUCAGGCACAGGCAUACCAACAAAACAGCUCAGGCAGGUACUGAAGGCCGCCGGGGCUGAGCUGCAAUCUGGCUCCUGGGCCCAGGAGCAGGGGGUGUGGAGGGAGGCCCCCAGGGCAAGCUGCUCAGGCCAUUAAGACCUCUCAGUGCCCUCCAGGCCCUGACAUAGAAUCUGUCUACAUAGUCCUGUAAAAAAAGCCAGCUGCUGCAGGACCAGUGUGAGCUAAUACAAUAGGGAAAAAAGAAAAAGGACAGUGCCUCUUCUCCUGUAUUUCAAGGUAGGUUUAGGCAGUGAAGGUUCGCUUGCAUGGAGUCCAGCUCUGACUUGGUAGCGCAAGUUACCCAGAGUCUCGAACAUGUGGAGGAACUAAAACUCUCAAGUGUGUACUGAGUCAUUUUCUUAGGAAAGCCUGUGCAACCAAAAGUGGUAUGGAAAUAGCUAUAGCUACUUAGCUACUUCCAGGUUGGGAGGGGUUUUGGUCCGCUGUUUUUACCACUUAGAGGGCAGAGCUGAAAGCCAUCUUUUACCAGCUAGUCUUAUUUUAAGUACAUCUAUACGUUAAGUUAUGUAUCUCUGAACAGCCAUCUAAAUUCAGACUCCAUGAAACCCGCUCUUUGGGUUACUUGGCUGCAUCAAGACAUGCAUAUCAGACAGCACAAAUCUAUCCAAAUGGGGAUCCUAAACAGCUUUCAGACAGUCUCUUUGUCAUAACUUAAUGUGUAUAAUGUAUCCCUACCUCUUCCUCAUAUGUAGAAGAAUUAAAGGGAGUGGUUGAUACCAGCAAGAAGAAAAAGCACUAAAGAGAGACAGCUGGGAAAAGACAGACAACAAGGCCUGUUCCGGGAAAGUAGCUAUGUCUAGGCCCUUAUGUGUAAGUAGUUCACUGCUUUUCUUAAAUCCACAGUUACUCUGUGCUGUGACAGCUGAGUGCUGUGAUACCCAAGAUAUCUACAACCACCUUCUUCUCAGCCAGCUCCUUUUGGCACCUCUUGCCAGUUAUGCCAUCUUAGUGCCUCAGCCUAGACCCACUGUCUAGCCGUGCACCUAUGAUCUUUCAGGCCCAACUUUGCGUAACCCUGUCUGUGUUCAGGCCUGACCACAGCGUCAUGUUUCCAUCUUCCCUAUCAGUGAACAAAUCCAAUCCUUAAUACCUUGUUUUCUCUUUAAUUUGUGUUUGGUUGUUCUUCAGAAUAAUAAUCAUCUUUUUACUCUCUUUUUACUCUGCCUCGCAACAGAGCCACGAGCCACAAGUCUUACUCUAACAUUAUCACAGCACAAGUUCAAAGGACUUGCAAGCUCUCCUCCCUUCUCUUUCCAUCCUACCUCCAUCCCUCUAUUCGCUGUCUCCUAGGACCUCCAUUUCUCUAUUUUAUCAUCCUUUGAUCUUUUUCCUCAGGGGAAGGAGCAAUAAGGCUAUCGAUAAUAGCAAUAAUACUUGAAAAGUAGGAACCUGCCUGACCAGCCUGGCACCCAGAACCGCCAUCUGCUGAUCUCCAAGCAUGGACCACAAGAGGGAGCAUUUUGUUCAGUUUAUUGGCAAAGACUAUUUUUCCCUAUGUGAAGCAGAGAGGAAAAACCCAGUUUCUGGUUAGAUCUUGAUGUCUUCGCUCCAUUUUCAGUUGCAAGUGAAGCUGCCAAAUAAGGUCAAGUACAAGAAUGUCAGUAAUGCGGGAUCAAAUGCAUGAUCGACUGGAUGAUCUGCUAUCAUGGUGUGACAGCUAUCAUUUACCACUGAGCACUCAACAAGGAUCGGGAGUGUCGGCCACAGAACAUCUGCUGCAUUUCCUCCCAAGAAUGAAUUACACCACGAGUGGAUCCUCCAGUGAUACUAUAGCUGGAAUCAGCUGAGGGAGAUAGCACUAAAAGCCGUGCAACUUUCCACAGAGGAGAGAGAACGGAAGACAUCUCACUUCAUCAGCCAAAAAUCACUGCUUAUUAACUAACCUGAAGUGAAUUAGAACAACUGAUUUACUCAGAAUUUGACCGUCAUAGCAAGGGAAGAGUUUUUUUGCAAUAAAAAAAAUUCAGUCUUUUCUAAAAUGGUGCUUCGUACAUUACGAGGACAUGUCUUUUUUAAUCAGGCCCUCAACAUCUUUAUAGCUUCACUUCAACUAACAAUAACUAGAACUGAAUGAGAUCUGAAUAAGGCCAUACUAGUACAUUCAUUAAUAGAACAGAGGCCUAUUUGGGAAGUAUAAAACAUCUGAGAUUUCUGAAUUGUCUUUAAGGAUUGGAACAUAAUAUGUUAUUUUUGUUGACAUUUAUUGUGCUUCUGGUGAAUAAAUAGGCUGGAAGAAUAUGAACAGGAAAUUCUAUUCACAAGAUAAGCAGCUGUUAGCCCCUAAAACUUCAGAAGUUCAUAAGGGCCCAAAAAAUUUCUUUCUAUGACGGAUUUAAUGAAUAGUCAGCAUUCCACAUCAGCCAAAGGAAAUGCUUGAAGGCAGUUUUUACAGAUGCAAUCAAAUCUUGUGUUUGUGUGAAGACGGACAGAGCCUGCCAUUUGUUUGUGAAAUAACAGUUUCAAAGGUUAUGCUUUCACCACAAAAAUCUUGAACUGUUGUCAUCCUAAAAUGCUGGAGAACCAGACUAUUUUGUAACUUACUGUUCAAUUUCUGGAAGCAGACUUGGUCCAGAUCAUGUUAUUGUUUUCAAAUUGGAAAUCCUCACUGCUUUUAAUGCACAUUUCUUGAAAAGUGUUCCAGCCUAGCUCAUAGUCAUCUACUAAAUAGCUAACAGAAAACUGCUUCAGUCUUUUGAUCUUAUAUUUGUGGCCCAUAGACUCUACAGUUUUGCACGUAAAUUCACAAAGGAAGCAGUAACAAAAGCAUGUCAGGAGUAUUAAUAAGAACAUGAGAUGGAUAUGUCUUGCCAACUUUCUCACUGCAGUGCAAUGAGACACAUCUUUUAGCUGGUGUAGAUAGCAUAACCUCAUUUACUACAGCUAUGCUAAUUUACAUCAGCCAAAGUUGCAGACCUGAUGAAUCACUGGUAAUUCUGGGAAUAAUUCAUGCUUCUUCUGAAAUAUUUGUUCUUGGAAAUGUGGUGUUUGUACACAAUGCAUGAUGAUUAGGCAAUAUGAUUUUAUAUGAAAUCAUGAAAAUGAACGUGAAAUUCAAACAACUUACUGCAGGUUCUAUAUGAUCUAUUUGUAGAAGAAUACUGAAACUUUAGAGCCCUGAAUUCCUUCCAGUGGAAAAAAUAUCUAAGGAGAUUGGCAUUCAUGAAAUCUUAAUCCAAGAAGGCCAGAGAAGUAGUAAGCCACACUCCUUGCAGGGAGGCUGACACAAUUACUUAAAACCCUUCACAAGCCCAUGACAGAGAACAUGACUGGUCUUCAAUUAAAUUGGACUUAAGUUGUCUUCAACAUAUAAUAAGCCAAAUUAUAAUAUUUACGUUCUAAACUUCACUACUCUAACAAUAGAAUUUGGCAUCUUUUCUGUAUUUUCUCUUCCAAAUCGAGGCUAGAAGGAAGUUUUACUUGCAAUGGACAAGAAAUGUAUAUUUAAAUGUCUCUAUGAUCAAAACAAUGCAACUCUGCAUAUGGAAUUCUCAUCAAGCACAGGGUAGAUUUAUCUUCUGAAGAAAAUAUAAUGGCCUGAAUUGCAAUUAUACACAAGCAUUAUGUUACUCAGUUUCAGAAGGAAAAAAUAUAGUAGCAGACAACCUAGACAAGAUAGAAUAUCUUCAAAAUGCAUCAUUAAUUGUUUGAUAAACUGAGAAACUCCUCAAGCACGAUGGAACUACAGAGUAGAGACAGCACACUGCUCAGUCUGUGUUACACAAACAGAACAGAGCUCUUUUUGCAUUCAAACUGCCUCUGGGCCAUGGCAAUUCCAAUCUGAUAGGCAGCUGAAUACUCAGCUACCUUGGACCAAAACAGAUCCAGUAACUGUAAUUAUUUCCUCUCACUUCCCUAUCACUUACACAUCCUUGGAAGGUGCAGAAUCUGGAAACCAUAUUGUGAAAAGGGAAUAAAAGAUUUUUCAAGAAUGUCUUUAUCUCAACCUGGAAAAUGAUGCUUUUUUCCCUCUAUUAUCUAGUAUACUGUUUUCCCAGUAAUUCCUAAAAUGCACAGAGGUAGAAACAAAUUGUGACAUUUAUACAUAUUUAUUCCUGUCCUCAUAUUUGGAAGUAUAUUUUCCCUGGAAAGAAUUGAAUAAUUUUAUUUUCUUCUUCUUCUGUUUUUUAUAAAUACUUUUUUCAAAAUGGAAAUAGAUGUUUCAAUUCUGAUCAAGCUUGAAAGAAGUAUUUUGUUGCAAGAGAAAGCAUUAUUUGAACUUUGAUGUUUAUGUGCGUAUGUAUUUCAUUAACAUGUGUUUGCAGAUGUAUGUCAUUAAUGUCUAUUUGUAUAGUAAAGCUGAUAUAAAAUUUCGCUAAUUAAAGAGUUUCUGCAAUGUUUCAGAAACGUAUUUAUAUGUCUAGUCUACAGGAAACUAGAAUUUCCCUUGAAUCACAUUCUAAAUUAACAACCUGCAUUUUAGAAUGAGCAUUCUCCAAGACCUAACUGCCAAACUAGGGCGUAUCUCACUGAGCUUGGACAGAAGUUACAUCUUUUUUCAUCCCUGUUUUCCUAUCCCGGGCAUUUAUGCUUCUUUCCCCACUUUUCUCUGAAUCAUUACUUGGGUAAACUGAAGUUCCUGCUUCCCUGUUGAUAAAGGCAACCUUCUGGAUUUUGCUGAGUGCUAGCACAUGUUACAGUGCUAGCACUGCAAUCUCAAUGGAUUAAGUCAGUAGGCUCUUGUGUUUUUAUUUAUAACAACCUUUUCAUUUGUGUCUGUACUGAAAAAGUGCUGAGGAUUCUUGUUUGUAUUAGCUGAAAGGAUGAACUUCCCAAAGGCUCCCUUGGAAGCGGCAGGACUCCUUGGUCACAGCGGUGAGACUCAUAUUGAGUUCAACGGGAAAAUCCACCCUGAAUUGUCUCCGAAACCUAAACAGAAAACUACGUAUAUCACACUUAGCUGAGCUAUUGUCUCAGGCUGUCUGCCAAUACUACUUCAGAAAAUGUUCAAGUCCAGCUUUCCAGGCUACCCUUCAAAUUCAUAUCGACAGCUGCCAAGAAGCUUUUUUAAGUAAGAGUGAAUCUGAAGCUUUAUUGACACAGAAGGGGAAGACAGCUGGGUUUAGUUAUCAGAGAUAAUUUACAUAUCACCAGGUAUUCCCAGCUAGGCAUGGAUAGACUGACCUCUACAGAAACCGAAGGCAGCAGUUUUUAUGAAGAUACAUUUGUGCUUGCUUUGCUGUCACUAUACCUAGCUGCUGGUGCUCACGCUGUCUCCUUUGCUUGCACAGGAAAUCCAGAAUAUCUGUAACGAAGCACACCCCAGCCUACUCUGAAAUACUCU